This 30-nucleotide non-coding RNA is filed under the name Mus musculus (house mouse). Lineage: Eukaryota; Metazoa; Chordata; Mammalia; Rodentia; Muridae. The record is from RNAcentral.
UUUCUCCUUAGGUGUUAGCAAGUCUUGUUU